RNAcentral lists this ribosomal RNA (465 nucleotides) under uncultured bacterium. Its description in RNAcentral is "bacterial SSU rRNA". It matches the Rfam family "Bacterial small subunit ribosomal RNA", at positions 331 to 793 of the family's 1533-position model. The record is from RNAcentral.
CCAGACUCCUACGGGAGGCAGCAGUGAGGAAUAUUGGUCAAUGGGCGAGAGCCUGAACCAGCCAAGUCGCGUGAGGGAAGACGGUCCUAUGGAUUGUAAACCUCUUUUGCCGGGGAGCAAAAAGCGGUACGCGUACCGCAUCGAGAGUACCCGGAGAAAAAGCAUCGGCUAACUCCGUGCCAGCAGCCGCGGUAAUACGUAGGGGGCAAGCGUUAUCCGGAUUUACUGGGUGUAAAGGGAGCGUAGACGGCAGUGCAAGUCUGAAGUGAAAGCCCCGGGCUUAACCCGGGAAUUGCUUUGGAAACUGUACGGCUGGAGUGCUGGAGAGGUAAGCGGAAUUCCUAGUGUAGCGGUGAAAUGCGUAGAUAUUAGGAGGAACACCAGUGGCGAAGGCGGCUUACUGGACAGUAACUGACGUUGAGGCUCGAAAGCGUGGGGAGCAAACAGGAUUAGAUACCCGAGUAC